RNAcentral lists this small nuclear RNA (324 nucleotides) under Erinaceus europaeus (western European hedgehog). RNAcentral describes it as "7SK RNA". It matches the Rfam family "7SK RNA". From Rfam's summary of the family: 7SK was discovered as an abundant small nuclear RNA in the mid-70s but a possible function has only recently been suggested. Two independent studies have found that 7SK RNA binds the CDK9/cyclin T complex (known as elongation factor P-TEFb). Lineage: Eukaryota; Metazoa; Chordata; Mammalia; Eulipotyphla; Erinaceidae. The record is from Rfam by way of RNAcentral.
GGAAGGGAGGGGUAAUCUGGCUUUGACAUCUGUCAUCCUAUUGAUUGCCAGGGUUGAUUUGGCUGAUCUGACUGGCUAGGCAGGUGUCCCCUUCCUCCUUCACUGCUCUAUGUGUGCCCCUCCUGAAGUUGCGUACUUGGUCAAAGAGGAUGGCUUUCCCUAGAGAUGGACUGGUGUAGGAGUACAGGAUACAGAAGUAGCUGCACUCCCCUGCUAGAAUCUUCAACAAGCUUUCAAGAUGAAGCAAUAAGAUGACCCAGGAGGUGGCGUAGUGGAUCUAGCAUUUGGACUCUCAAGCAUGAGUUGGAUUCCUAGCAUCACUGU